This 630-nucleotide ribosomal RNA is filed under the name Tremella mesenterica. RNAcentral's name for it is "LSU rRNA". It matches the Rfam family "Eukaryotic large subunit ribosomal RNA", at positions 46 to 663 of the family's 3401-position model. The record is from RNAcentral. Lineage: Eukaryota; Fungi; Basidiomycota; Tremellomycetes; Tremellales; Tremellaceae.
AUAAGCGGAGGAAAAGAAACUAACAAGGAUUCCCCUAGUAACGGCGAGCGAACCGGGAAGAGCUCAAAUUUGAAAUCUGGCGUCCCACGGGCGUCCGAGUUGUAAUCUGCAGAGGCGUCUUCCGCCCCGGACCGCGUCCAAGUCCCUUGGAACAGGGUAUCAAAGAGGGUGACAAUCCCGUGCUUGACGCGACCCCCGGUGCUAUGUGAUGCGACCUCAAAGAGUCGAGUUGUUUGGGAAUGCAGCUCAAAACGGGUGGUAAAUUCCAUCUAAGGCUAAAUAUUGGCGAGAGACCGAUUGCGAACAACUACCGUGAGGGAAAGAUGAAAAGCACUUUGGAAAGAGAGUUAAACAGUACGUGAAAUUGUUGGAAGGGAAACGAUUGAAGUCAGUCGUGUCUGAGGGGUUCAGCCGGUCCUGCCGGUGCACUCCCCUCGGACGGGUCAACAUCGGUUCUGUCCGGCGGACAAGGGCAGGGGGAACGUGGCACCCUCGUGGUGUGUUAUAGCCCCCCGUCGCAUACGUCGGUCGGGACCGAGGAUCGCAGCUCGCCCUCACGGGCCGGGGUUCGCCCACGUCCGAGCUUAGGAUGUUGACGUAAUGGCUUUAAACGACCCGUCUUGAAACACG